This 774-nucleotide ribosomal RNA is filed under the name uncultured Neocallimastigales. RNAcentral's name for it is "partial large subunit ribosomal RNA". It matches the Rfam family "Eukaryotic large subunit ribosomal RNA", at positions 26 to 644 of the family's 3401-position model. Lineage: Eukaryota; Fungi; Neocallimastigomycota; Neocallimastigomycetes; Neocallimastigales. The record is from RNAcentral.
CGCAUCUGUGCAUGCAGCAUAUCAAUAAGCGGAGGAAAAGAAACUAACAAGGAUUCCCCUAGUAACGGCGAGUGAAGCGGGAAGAGCUCAAAUUUGAAAUCUUAAAGGGUUUCCCUUUAUGAAUUGUAGUUUAAAGAAGUGUUUUCUGUUGAGGUUUUGGUAAAAGUUCUUUGGAAUAGGACAUCAUAGAGGGUGAGAAUCCCGUAUUUGACCUUUACUUUCAACUUUGUGAUACACUUUCAAAGAGUCGGAUUGUUUGGGAAUGCAGUCCAAAAUGGGUGGUAAAUUUCAUCUAAAGCUAAAUAUUGGCGAGAGACCGAUAGCGAACAAGUACCGUGAGGGAAAGAUGAAAAGAACUUUGAAAAGAGAGUUAAACAGUACGUGAAAUUGUCAAAAGGGAAGCGUUUGACACCAGUGUUGUUUUUCUGAAAAUCAAUUAAAGAACUGUUUAUGCUAAGCUGUUUAGACUUUAUCAGCUAACUGUUUAGUUUUGAGCUUUUCUUUAAUGCACUUUUCAGUUAACAAGUCAACAUCAAUUUCUUUUGCUGUAAAAAAGCUUGAGGAAGGUGGCUUGAGAUUCGUCUUAAGUGUUUAUAGCCUCUUGCCUAUGCAGUCGGAGAGAUUGAGGUCUGCAGCGUAGAUCCUUCGGGGCUAAAUGCAUUUGUGCUAAGUUAUAGCAUUUUAUAGACAACUUGUUGACUAUGAUUUGUCUUGUAGCUUACUCGCUUAUGUUAUUUUACCUACGCUUAGGAUGUUGAAUCUGUGCGAGACUAC